GACACGAUCCUCCCGAGGACUCGGCACUCUAAAGUUGAGCAAGGGAUAGAAGUGGCUGUGAAGCCGUGAUGAUGGAUAGAUGAUCUCGAUCUAGAGACGACACACGACUCAAAGACGAGAGAAUGGAUCGAUGGAUAUCACAGAAGCUUGCGGAAGAGCUUCACGAUACCGAAACUUAGAUCCUUUGGAUAUGCGCACCAAAAGAUACUAAGGGUUUUGCUGGAUAUACACACCAACAAGAUGAUCUUCUUAGAAAAGGUUUUUGAU
Molecule: long non-coding RNA, 267 nt
Filed under: Arabidopsis lyrata
Lineage: Eukaryota; Viridiplantae; Streptophyta; Magnoliopsida; Brassicales; Brassicaceae
Description: long non-coding RNA (ALYR_LNC001961)
Source: RNAcentral